AAAUUUUCUUAAGGAACUCGGCAAAAUCCCAAUGGCCCACCAGGGCAUAUUGGAACACGGGCCUCGACUGUUUACCAAAAACAUAGCCCUCGGCUAAUAUGAAAAUAGAUGUAUAGAGGGUGAUGCCUGCCCAAUGGUUGUAUCUAAAAGCGGUUGAUAAAAGUUGACCUCGUAAGGACAAUUGAAUGGCCGCGGUAACACUGACCGUGAUAAUGUAGCGUAAUCAAUAGCCAAUUAAUUGUUGGCCAGUAUGAAUGGCGCCACGAAGGCCCCACUGUCUUAAGGAAAUUCCCAGUGAAAUUGAAUUCGUAGUGAAGAUGCUACGUCCAAUUUGUUAGACGAAAAGACCCCGUUGAGCUUUACUGGAGCACUUACAUGGCCCCGGCCUUCCCAUGCCUGGGAACCGGCCGAAUUUAAAUGGGCGGCUUAGAUUAUGUGGCAGCCCCCCGCUGGGGCAAAUGAAACACCACUCCCCCAUGUCAAAGGGGCUAACCCCCCCCCUUGGGGGGACAGUGUAAGUAGGACAGUUUGGUUGGGGCGACCACCUUUUAAAAAGUAACGAAGGUGCGCUUAAGGUGCGCAAUUAAUGACUGAAGCCUGACUGCGAGGGGGACACCCCGAGCAGACACCCCAAAGCCCGCCCGAAAGGCGGCGGUGGGGUGGGCCAUAGUGACCCGUU
RNAcentral lists this ribosomal RNA (679 nucleotides) under Zoanthus sansibaricus. Its description in RNAcentral is "partial 16S ribosomal RNA". It matches the Rfam family "Bacterial large subunit ribosomal RNA", at positions 1697 to 2424 of the family's 2925-position model. The record is from RNAcentral. Lineage: Eukaryota; Metazoa; Cnidaria; Anthozoa; Zoantharia; Zoanthidae.